CCUCAUUGAACCCGUAGGCCAUAGAAGAAACAAAGGCUACAGGUCAUCUUCACUGGCGCCAUGGCUAAGUUCACAAAGCAACUCAAGGACAAGCUCUCUUGUCUCGUUGGUCCUUUCAAAGGUUGCAGCAACGGGGACUCUCAUGAAAAAGGUACAUAAAAGCCAAAAAAUGUUUCUGUUUGCGAGAAAGAGAUGAUGAUCUUACAUAUUGAGAGCACGAAUUGCUUCGUUUUUUAGGCCAUGUUGGGGAUUUGAAUGAAUCGAAGGUGGCUUCUGUUCAGGUUACAGUUAUUUCGUGCUUGUUAAUCUUUAAUCGAUGGUCUUUUUGGAACAAAACUUAUAUGCAAAAUUUCUCUGCAGGGAGACGGUCUAAUUAACCGUUUUUAUAUGCAAUGUACAAAUUUUAAAGUAAAAAUAAUAAUUGAUUGGACUAUCUCUCGAUCAGUAGGAAAUGCUUUGUAUAAAGUUUUUUAAAAAUCCCUUUUUGCUUGGAUAUAGAGUUUGUGACUCGUGUUUUCAAAUGCUCAUUGUAGAGGGAUUCGUGUGAGUAACAUGAGAGGGAGAGGGCCGGCACUUCCGGUAGCGUCGAAGCCACCGCCGCCCCAACACAAUUAAAAGUUAUGAGUUUUGAGACUACGUACUACGUCCCAUGAUUCUACUUCCCCUGUUUGAGUGUCUCGAGUUUGUUCUCCCCGUGUUUAAGUUAUUAAGACUCAUGCGAUCAUUUUAUCCGUAAAAUGUGCUCAAUGCUUUGAUUCUCUCUCUCUCUCACACGCACACAAAGAGCCGUGGGUAAGUUGAUUGUUU
RNAcentral lists this long non-coding RNA (807 nucleotides) under Ananas comosus (pineapple). RNAcentral's name for it is "long non-coding RNA (ACOM_LNC004360)". Lineage: Eukaryota; Viridiplantae; Streptophyta; Magnoliopsida; Poales; Bromeliaceae. The record is from RNAcentral.